RNAcentral lists this ribosomal RNA (843 nucleotides) under Triticum aestivum (bread wheat). RNAcentral's name for it is "partial small subunit ribosomal RNA". Lineage: Eukaryota; Viridiplantae; Streptophyta; Magnoliopsida; Poales; Poaceae. The record is from RNAcentral.
AUGGCCACGAGAGCUUUAAGGGAGGUGGCGGGGAGGAGGAGCGCCGGAGCGGCGGGGAUUGGCGGGAGCAGACGCUUCUCCGACAGCGCCGCCGCCGCCGCCGCUGCUGCUCCGGCGGGGGCGGCGGAGAGGGGAGAUGGGGGAGGGGGGAAGGCGGUGAACCUGUUCACCGCCGUCAACCAGGCGCUCCACAUCGCGCUCGACACCGAUCCGCGCUCUUAUGUCUUUGGAGAGGAUGUGGGUUUUGGCGGCGUCUUUCGCUGCACAACAGGGCUAGCUGAUCGAUUUGGGAAACAAAGAGUAUUCAAUACACCACUGUGUGAACAGGGUAUUGCCGGAUUUGCUAUUGGCUUAGCAGCAAUGGGCAAUAGAGCUAUUGCUGAAAUCCAGUUUGCAGAUUAUAUCUUUCCAGCAUUUGAUCAGAUCGUCAACGAAGCAGCUAAAUUCAGAUACCGAAGUGGAAAUGAAUUUAACUGUGGAGGUUUAACAAUUCGAUCUCCAUAUGGUGCUGUUGGACAUGGUGGUCACUACCAUUCACAGUCACCAGAGGCUUUCUUCUGCCAUGUUCCUGGCCUGAAGGUUGUCAUACCUCGAAGUCCACGUGAGGCCAAGGGACUGUUGUUGGCCAGCAUUCGUGACCCAAACCCGGUCAUCUUUUUCGAGCCAAAGUGGCUGUACCGUUUGUCUCUUGAAGAAGUUCCUGAGGGGGACUAUAUGCUGCCUUUAUCUCAGGCAGAAGUGAUUCGCAAAGGAAGUGAUAUAACACUUAUUGGUUGGGGAGCUCAACUUGCAGUGCUGGAACAAGCAUGUGAAGAUGCUUCAAAGGUCAAUUAUUCACGCUAG